Molecule: non-coding RNA, 509 nt
Organism: Caenorhabditis elegans
Lineage: Eukaryota; Metazoa; Nematoda; Chromadorea; Rhabditida; Rhabditidae
Source: Ensembl
ACACAUAUCCUCUAGUCUGUAAUCAUAACAGGAUAAAUAUAGACUUGAGGCGAGAAACAAAAGACUUUCAUGGAGAUUGGAAUGGAGAAUGGCUGCUCAAUUAUGGUGUCGGCAUCUGAGAAACAACAACAAAAAAACGAACGGUACGUCGGAUCGUAAACGAGGUAAUGAUGCCGGUAGGUAACUGAAGGGACAUACGAGCGGCAUACACGGAAGAGCAGAUGCAUCCGGCAGACCGCCCGUGUGUUGAAUAAUUUAGUGUUAUGAUAGGUGGGGUAACGGCGGAAGUGUUGCUUUCUACGAGGGGUGUAAAUCACAAAGCCUCCGAGUGUUGCACAUUAAAGGGAAAAUUGGGGGGCAACUGUCUUUGUUAGAAGAGUUUGGAAACCAAGGGAUUGGCUUUUUCCGGUACGCGCAAUUAAAGUGUCAGGCGGUGAUGGACAAGUUGGCAGAGAAGAGUCCGUACAAAAAUGAGGACGAUUCGCUUCAUUGCUUCUUCUCCUUGUUGU